Vidua macroura (Pin-tailed whydah) is the source of this 864-nucleotide long non-coding RNA. RefSeq lists it as uncharacterized. The record is from RefSeq and is a predicted model, not a curated record. Lineage: Eukaryota; Metazoa; Chordata; Aves; Passeriformes; Viduidae. The transcript has 3 exons.
GUUGUCUGCAUUGGCAAGUAUGAGAAGUUCUGAAGAAAAAGCUGAAGAUCUGACAUCCACACCACUGAUGUGGCAGUCCAGACCAGCUUUUGUCACUAUGGAUGCAGUGACAACUGGAGUUUGAAUAUACCGAGUGUGUUCUGGGGAUGUAACUGUGGAUUUGUCUUCCUUCAAAAGGAAUCCAUUAUGCACGCUCCGAGACCCUGGAUGCUCAGUGAUCUGAAGGAGACCACAGAAGUAUUUCAUUAUUUGGUUCUGAAGAAGGGAGAAGCUGAUUUUUGCAUCUCUAGUAGAAGGAAUGAGACAGGAAAAUUGGAUCCUUCAGAGGAAGAGAUGCUUGCCAAUGAAGAACCACUAUCUGCUUAGCAGAUUUUUCCUUUUCUUCUGUUGGAACGAAAAUUAAGCAACAACAACAACCCAAACCCAAAAAGUGGCUGAGAUAUUCCAUAGCAGAUUGGCUGCGGCAGAGUUACCUGGGGAGACCCAGCAUGUGUGCUGGAGGUCAGUAGCAAGUUUCCAAGGCGAGUCUCUUGGGCUUCUAUAUGUCUUCCUCUUUCUUAUUCAUUGCCUUGAGCAUUCCAAGGCUCUUUUUUACAAGCUGGCAUGCUGGGAUGAGAACCCCAGUAAGUGGCACGGGUUGAAGUGUGCCUGUGUGUUACAGAAACUCGAUGUUUCCUUUUUUUCCCUCGGGGUGAUGAUGCAUUGAGUUGAAGAGACCCGAGGAGAAGCGGAGUGCAGGGCUAAAAGUCUUCUUCCUGGCAGGUGUGAGUCACUGGCAGGAGCCAGGUAGCUACAGGAGUUGUAGGUGAAAGAGGCGGUUCCCCUCUGGCAUUCCUGUGCAGAGGGCACCUGGGGCAGCAAGGA